RNAcentral lists this transfer RNA (69 nucleotides) under Urocitellus parryii (Arctic ground squirrel). RNAcentral describes it as "Spermophilus parryii (Arctic ground squirrel) tRNA". It matches the Rfam family "tRNA". Rfam says of the family: Transfer RNA (tRNA) molecules are approximately 80 nucleotides in length. RNAcentral also lists the same sequence under 1 other name. The record is from Rfam by way of RNAcentral. Lineage: Eukaryota; Metazoa; Chordata; Mammalia; Rodentia; Sciuridae.
GGGUUUGUAGCUCAGUGGUGGAGCACUUGCCUAGCAUGUGUGAGGCACUGAGUUCAAUCCUCAGCACCA